This is a long non-coding RNA of Suricata suricatta (meerkat), 608 nucleotides long. RefSeq lists it as uncharacterized. The transcript is spliced from 2 exons. The record is from RefSeq and is a predicted model, not a curated record. Lineage: Eukaryota; Metazoa; Chordata; Mammalia; Carnivora; Herpestidae.
UGAAGCAGUCUCCAGCUUCUGUGCUCAGGGCUCGAACUCACAAACCACGAGACCAUGACCUGAGCCAAAGUUGGACUCCUAACUGACAGCCGCCUAGGCGCCCCAAGUGGCUACCUAUUUCUUAAGGACCAGAUUGCAGACCUUCCCCAGGGAAGGAGGGAGAGCCUGCUAGCGGCGCUAAGACCUCCCCUUCAGUAGCACACAGUGUGUGGAGAACUCGCGUCAUUUCUCACCGAUGCUGUGGAAGAGAUUCUUGGUCCUCUCUCCUGAAGAGCUUUGAAGGUCUCCCUGGCGUGUUAACAGGUGAAGCAGGAAAGCUCAGUUGGAUUCACAUUUUUGAGGCCCGUGCAGAAACGGUCACCGCUCAACCUUUGGUCUCUAGUUUAUUGUUUUAUGUACUUUGUUGUUGUUGUUUUUCCCCUCCCACUUUCUUAGUUGAAGCACAAAGAAGGCUUCGGUUGGGAGAGGGAGAAGGGGAUCUUUCCAGGUACAGACAGGGUCUGGUAGCUUGGGAAGGGGUAGGGCUAUAAUCCAGCUGGGUACCUGGACUUCGGGUGAGGGUCCUGGAAAGAAUGGGCUGAGAGCAGAGCUGUGGUUUGGAAUCCAGC